CCUGGUUGAUCUUGCCAGUAGUCGUAUGCUUGUCUCAAAGAUUAAGCCAUGCAUGUCCCAGUGCAUGCCGAAUUAAGGUGAAACCGCAAAUGGCUCAAUCUAAUGAACCAUAAAUCAGUUAUGGUUCAUUAGAUUGUACCCACAGUUACUUGGACAACUGUGGUAAUUCUAGAGCUAAUACAUGCAAAACAGAGUCCCGACCAGUGAUGGGAGAUUUUAUUAGAUCAAAACCAAUCGGUGGCGGACGGUUUCUUGCCGCUCGUCCACCGUUCAUUUUGGUAACUCUGAAUAACUUUGAGCUGAUCGCACGGUCCUAGCACCGGCGACGCAUCUUUCAAAUGUCUGCCUUAUCAACUGUCGAUGGUAGGUUCUGCGCCUACCAUGGUUGUAACGGGUAACGGGGAAUCAGGGUUUGAUUUUGGAGAGGGAGCCUGAGAAACGGCUACCACAUCCAAGGAAGGCAGCAGGCGCGCAAAUUACCCACUCCCGGCACGGGGAGGUAGUGACAAAAAAUAACGAUACGGGACUCAUCCGAGGCCCCGUAAUCGGAAUGAGUACAUUUUAAAUCCUUUAACGAGGAUCCAUUGGAGGGCAAGUCUGGUGCCAGCAGUCGCGGUAAUUCCAGCUCCAAUAGCGUAUAUUAAAGUUGUUGCGGUUAAAAAGCUCGUAGUUGAAUCUGUGUCGCACACCGUCGGUUCACCACUCGCGGUGUCUAACUGGCGUGAUGUGGGACGUCCUACCGGUGGGCUCAGCCUCGAGAGGGGCGGCCCAACUAAUAUCUCGUCGCGGUGCUCUUUACUGAGUGUCGAAUCGGGCUGGUACGUUUACUUGAACUAAUUAGAGUGCUUAAAGCAGGCUAGCUUNGCCUGAAUACUGUGUGCAUGGAAUAAUGGAAUAGGACCUCGGUUCUAUUUUGUUGGUUUUCGGAACCCCGAGGUAAUGAUUAAUAGNGACAGAUGGGGGCAUUCGUAUUGCGACGUUAGAGGUGAAAUUCUUGGAUCGUCGCAAGACGGACAGAAGCGAAAGCAUUUGCAAAAAAUGUUUUCAUUAAUCAAGAACGAAAGUUAGAAAUUCGAAGGCAAUCAGAUACCGCCCUAGUUCUAACCAUANACGAUGCCAGCUAGCGAUCCACCGAAGUUCCUCCGAUGAUUCGGCGGGCAGCUUCCGGGAAACCAAAGCUUUUGGAUUCCGGGAGAAGUAUGGUUGCAAAGCUGAAACUUAAAGGAAUUGAUGGAAGGGCACCACCAAAAGUGGAGCCUGCAGCUUAAUUUGACUCAACACGGAAAACCUCACCAGGGGGGCUAUUACUGUUCUCAGAUCGAGUNAAAAUGACGAAAGUGAGCAGCUUACCUUAUUACGGUUAAUCUCAUCUUGUGAAAAAACGAAAUUAUUCACGUGAAUAAACUCGACACAAAAUUUCAUGUCAAAAAUACUGUGUCCGCAUGCGUCAGCGUUAUUUGUGCGAAAAAAAACUAUGAGUUUGCAAUCACCCAAUAAACCCUGCAUCAUGAAAAAAGCAACAGUUAUCGAAAGCAAAAAGCUACAGUUAUGAAAAAAGUGCCUACAAUGAAUGUAAUAAUUUUAAUGUUUCAAAGAGAUUGGCAAAACACAAUGGUAAGAAUUCGUCGAACACUUCGCGAUGUUAUAUUAAAUAAAUCUGAGAUCCAUUUAAUAUAACGGAAAGAGAAUUCCGUAGUUUUUACAGGUAAAUGUCAUUAUUUAUGCUUA
This 1728-nucleotide ribosomal RNA is filed under the name Pseudomyrmex gracilis. Its description in RNAcentral is "SSU rRNA". It matches the Rfam family "Eukaryotic small subunit ribosomal RNA", at positions 3 to 1439 of the family's 1831-position model. The record is from RNAcentral. Lineage: Eukaryota; Metazoa; Arthropoda; Insecta; Hymenoptera; Formicidae.